AGAAAGUUAGUCUAACUAAGACAGUUGAUUUCGACUCAACAGACCAUAGCUCGACCCUAUGACUUUCUC
This 69-nucleotide transfer RNA is filed under the name Patagioenas fasciata (band-tailed pigeon). Its description in RNAcentral is "tRNA-Arg". It matches the Rfam family "tRNA". From Rfam's summary of the family: Transfer RNA (tRNA) molecules are approximately 80 nucleotides in length. Their secondary structure includes four short double-helical elements and three loops (D, anti-codon, and T loops). Further hydrogen bonds mediate the characteristic L-shaped molecular structure. tRNAs have two regions of fundamental functional importance: the anti-codon, which is responsible for specific mRNA codon recognition, and the 3' end, to which the tRNAs corresponding amino acid is attached (by aminoacyl-tRNA synthetases). tRNAs cope with the degeneracy of the genetic code in two manners: having more than one tRNA (with a specific anti-codon) for a particular amino acid; and 'wobble' base-pairing, i.e. permitting non-standard base-pairing at the 3rd anti-codon position. The record is from RNAcentral. RNAcentral also lists the same sequence under 1 other name. Lineage: Eukaryota; Metazoa; Chordata; Aves; Columbiformes; Columbidae.